GACGAACGCUGGCGGCGUGCUUAACACAUGCAAGUCGAACGGAAAGGCCCCUUUGGGGGUCCUCGAGUGGCGAACGGGUGAGUAACACGUGAGUAACCUGCCCUUGACUUCGGGAUAACUUCAGGAAACUGGGGCUAAUACCGGAUAGGAAUCCUUGCUGCAUGGUGGGGGUUGGAAAGCUUCGGCGGUUUUGGAUGGACUCGCGGCUUAUCAGCUUGUUGGUGGGGUAGUGGCUUACCAAGGCUUUGACGGGUAGCCGGCCUGAGAGGGCGACCGGCCACAUUGGGACUGAGAUACGGCCCAGACUCCGACGGGAGGCAGCAGUGGGGAAUAUUGCACAAUGGGCGGAAGCCUGAUGCAGCAACGCCGCGUGCGGGAUGACGGCCUUCGGGUUGUAAACCGCGUUCAGCAGGGGCGAAGCUUGUGGUGACGGUACCUGCAGAAGAAGCACCGGCUAACUACGUG
Molecule: ribosomal RNA, 465 nt
Filed under: uncultured bacterium
Lineage: Bacteria
Description: partial 16S ribosomal RNA
Rfam family: Bacterial small subunit ribosomal RNA
Source: RNAcentral